ACUUUCUUCAUCUUCUUCAUCACUUGGAUUAGAGAAGAAAGCUUGUUUAAGAGCCUAGUUCGAGCGCGUGUGUCGAGGAUCGCGGCAAGGGCGUCGCGCAGUAGAUAGCAUGGACCACCGGCGUUAGCUCACUACCCUCGAGUAUAAUAAAAAAGGAAAGAAUGAUAUGUAAAACCCUUUUGUGAAGAAAUGUAAUGUAUAUGAGGGAUGGCAUUUUGGUUGUAUGUAUGAGAAGUCAAAUGAAAUAUGUAAUGUUUCUUGUGUGUGAACAAGUGAUGUAAUGGAUAGUUUAAAUUCUCUUGUAUC
Ananas comosus (pineapple) is the source of this 306-nucleotide long non-coding RNA. RefSeq lists it as uncharacterized. The transcript has 2 exons. The record is from RefSeq and is a predicted model, not a curated record. NCBI's taxonomy places the organism in Eukaryota, Viridiplantae, Streptophyta, Magnoliopsida, Poales, Bromeliaceae.